This 253-nucleotide ribosomal RNA is filed under the name uncultured bacterium. RNAcentral describes it as "partial 16S ribosomal RNA". It matches the Rfam family "Bacterial small subunit ribosomal RNA", at positions 524 to 776 of the family's 1533-position model. The record is from RNAcentral.
GACGUAGGGCGCGAGCGUUGUCCGGAUUUAUUGGGCGUAAAGAGCUCGUAGGCGGCUUGUCGCGUCGACUGUGAAAACCCGCGGCUCAACUGCGGGCCUGCAGUCGAUACGGGCAGGCUAGAGUUCGGUAGGGGAGACUGGAAUUCCUGGUGUAGCGGUGAAAUGCGCAGAUAUCAGGAGGAACACCUGAGGUGAAGACGGGUUGCUAGGCUGACACUGACGCUGAGGCGCGAAAGCCAGGGGAGCAAACGGG